UUUGACGUUAGCGACAGAAGAAGCACCGGCUAACUCCGUGCCAGCAGCCGCGGUAAUACGGAGGGUGCGAGCGUUAAUCGGAAUUACUGGGCGUAAAGCGCAUGCAGGUGGUUUGUUAAGUCAGAUGUGAAAGCCCGGGGCUCAACCUCGGAAUUGCAUUUGAAACUGGCAGACUAGAGUACGGUAGAGGGGGGUAGAAUUUCA
Molecule: ribosomal RNA, 204 nt
Filed under: Vibrio parahaemolyticus
Lineage: Bacteria; Pseudomonadati; Pseudomonadota; Gammaproteobacteria; Vibrionales; Vibrionaceae
Description: partial 16S ribosomal RNA
Rfam family: Bacterial small subunit ribosomal RNA
Source: RNAcentral